UGGUAGCGAGCAGCAGUUAGUCCGGACAGUGCGGCACAGAGCCCAGUAUGUAUGAGAGAGGGGCAAUGACUAUCAGGGGUAUCCUGAGGUAACCACUGAACAAAGGGUCCUGGGCUGCUGAGGUGACGGAUCUAUCACCAUAGACCUAACAUCCAGUGACUGAGUAAGGUGGAGCCGGGCAUCUGCAUAAGGCCUGUACAUCUGUCAACAGCCAGGAUCCAAGGGAAAUGACUAGAGAGACAGCAGGCAUCCCAUUAAGAUGCAUCUCACCUUAGCAGACAUGCUGGAGCUACACUGCAGGAUGUCUGCAAAUGAGCUGAGCAGCCCCAGAUAUUUUCAGAAUUUCCAGGACCCAUCGCAAGGAGAUGGCUGCAGUUCAGGUCCCACACACCACCCAACCCAACCAACCAUGGAGUAAGAGAUAACGUUUAUGCAUGUGGUGCAAUGUACAUGUGUUGUGUCAUCUAUACAUGAAGAAA
This is a long non-coding RNA of Pseudophryne corroboree (corroboree frog), 479 nucleotides long. RefSeq lists it as uncharacterized. The record is from RefSeq and is a predicted model, not a curated record. The transcript is spliced from 3 exons. NCBI's taxonomy places the organism in Eukaryota, Metazoa, Chordata, Amphibia, Anura, Myobatrachidae.